This 433-nucleotide ribosomal RNA is filed under the name uncultured bacterium. RNAcentral's name for it is "partial 16S ribosomal RNA". It matches the Rfam family "Bacterial small subunit ribosomal RNA", at positions 29 to 507 of the family's 1533-position model. The record is from RNAcentral.
AACGAACGCUGGCGGCAUGCCUAACACAUGCAAGUCGAAUGAGACCUUCGGGUCUAGGGGCGCACGGGUCAGUAACGCGUGGGAACCUGCCCUUAAGUUCGGAAUAACUCCCCGAAAGGGGUGCCAAUACCGGAUAAUGUCUUCGGACCAACGAUUUAUCGCCUGUGGCUGGGCCCGCGCUGGAUUAGCUAGUUGGGAGGGUAACAGCCUACCAAGGCGACGUUCCAUAGCUGGUCUGAGAGGAUGAUCAGCCACACUGGGACUGAGACACGGCCCAGACUCCUACGGGAGGCAGCAGUGGGGAAUAUUGGACAAUGGGAGAAAGCCUGAUCCAGCAAUGCCGCGUGAGUGAUGAAGGCCUUAGGGUUGUAAAGCUCUUUUACCCGUGAUGAUAAUGACAGUACCGGGAGAAUAAGCUCGGGCUAACUCCGUG